Molecule: non-coding RNA, 1750 nt
Organism: Oncorhynchus mykiss (rainbow trout)
Lineage: Eukaryota; Metazoa; Chordata; Actinopteri; Salmoniformes; Salmonidae
Source: RefSeq, a predicted model, not a curated record
AGGUAACCCCAUGGAUAGACGUGGGUGUUAUGCCUGGAGUAAUGAUGGGCAGCAGAGUAGGUAAACCCCAUGGAUAGACGUGGGUGUUAUGCCUGGAGUAAUGAUGGGCAGCAGAGUAGGUAACCCCAUGGAUAGACGUGGGUGUUAUGCCUGGAGUAAUGAUGGGCAGCAGAGUAGGUAAACCCACAGACGUGGGUGUUAUGCCUGGAGUAAUGAUGGGCAGCAGAGUAGGUAAACCCACAGACGUGGGUGUUAUGCCUGGAGUAAUGAUGGGCAGCAGAGUAGGUAAACCCCAUGGAUAGACGUGGGUGUUAUGCCUGGAGUAAUGAUGGGCAGCAGAGUAGGUAAACCCACAGACGUAGGUGUUAUGCCUGGAGUAAUGAUGGGCAGCAGAGUAGGUAAACCCACAGACGUGGUCUUUAUGCCUGGAGUAAUGAUGGGCAGCAGAGUAGGUAACCCCAUGGAUAGACGUGGGUGUUAUGCCUGGAGUAAUGAUGGGCAGCAGAGUAGGUAAACCCACAGACGUGGGUGUUAUGCCUGGAGUAAUGAUGGGCAGCAGAGUAGGUAAACCCCAUGGAUAGACGUGGGUGUUAUGCCUGGAGUAAUGAUGGGCAGCAGAGUAGGUAAACCCACAGACGUGGGUGUUAUGCCUGGAGUAAUGAUGGGCAGCAGAGUAGGUAAACCCACAGACGUAGGUGUUAUGCCUGGAGUAAUGAUGGGCAGCAGAGUAGGUAAACCCACAGACGUGGGUGUUAUGCCUGGAGUAAUGAUGGGCAGCAGAGUAGGUAAACCCACAGACGUAGGUGUUAUGCCUGGAGUAAUGAUGGGCAGCAGAGUAGGUAAACCCAUGGAUAGACGUGGGUGUUAUGCCUGGAGUAAUGAUGGGCAGCAGAGUAGGUAAACCCACAGACGUAGGUGUUAUGCCUGGAGUAAUGAUGGGCAGCAGAGUAGGUAAACCCACAGACGUGGGUGUUAUGCCUGGAGUAAUGAUGGGCAGCAGAGUAGGUAACCCCACAGACGUAGGUGUUAUGCCUGGAGUAAUGAUGGGCAGCAGAGUAGGUAAACCCCAUGGAUAGACGUGGGUGUUAUGCCUGGAGUAAUGAUGGGCAGCAGAGUAGGUAAACCCACAGACGUAGGUGUUAUGCCUGGAGUAAUGAUGGGCAGCAGAGUAGGUAACCCCACAGACGUGGGUGUUAUGCCUGGAGUAAUGAUGGGCAGCAGAGUAGGUAAACCCCAUGGAUAGAUGUGGGUGUUAUGCCUGGAGUAAUGAUGGGCAGCAGAGUAGGUAACCCCACAGACGUGGGUGUUAUGCCUGGAGUAAUGAUGGGCAGCAGAGUAGGUAAACCCACAGACGUGGGUGUUAUGCCUGGAGUAAUGAUGGGCAGCAGAGUAGGUAACCCCAUGGAUAGACGUGGGUGUUAUGCCUGGAGUAAUGAUGGGCAGCAGAGUAGGUAAACCCACAGACGUGGGUGUUAUGCCUGGAGUAAUGAUGGGCAGCAGAGUAGGUAAACCCACAGACGUAGGUGUUAUGCCUGGAGUAAUGAUGGGCAGCAGAGUAGGUAACCCCACAGACGUAGGUGUUAUGCCUGGAGUAAUGAUGGGCAGCAGAGUAGGUAAACCCCAUGGAUAGACGUGGGUGUUAUGCCUGGAGUAAUGAUGGGCAGCAGAGUAGGUAAACCCACAGACGUGGGUGUUAUGCCUGGAGUAAUGAUGGGCAGCAGAGUAGGUAAACCCACAGACGUGGGUGUUA